Anguilla rostrata (American eel) is the source of this 405-nucleotide long non-coding RNA. RefSeq lists it as uncharacterized. The record is from RefSeq and is a predicted model, not a curated record. Lineage: Eukaryota; Metazoa; Chordata; Actinopteri; Anguilliformes; Anguillidae. The transcript has 2 exons.
CAUCUCCAACAAACCGAGCCCUGCCACAUACGUAUGUGAGCAGAAUUUUGCCAGAGCAGCUUACUACUCACAGAACCCACAGUGCAUAGAUCGAAAAGGAGGGGAGUGGGAAAUGAAGAAGCCUGAGUUUUUUUUCCAGCUGUAUUAGCUGAUGCGAUAAGUUCUUUUCUUUGACAUGGACUUCAUGUCCCAUCACUCCCUGGAUCCUGAGUUUCUACUGACUGGGCAUGUCGUUUACUUGAAAAUCUGAGAAGUGCAGCAGUUCUUUGAAAAAAGUGGCGGGGAGGCGUUCGGCGAUGUGACCACAAAGCCGCACGUUCAGGCACAAGGGCUGCGAGGAGACGAGAAGCUCACCUGAACCUGAGCUCUUAGAAAACAGACAAAUACGCUGCAUGAUUUUUUUCA